This 303-nucleotide ribosomal RNA is filed under the name Triticum aestivum (bread wheat). RNAcentral's name for it is "partial small subunit ribosomal RNA". The record is from RNAcentral. Lineage: Eukaryota; Viridiplantae; Streptophyta; Magnoliopsida; Poales; Poaceae.
AUGGCCAACCACGGAGUCGCCGCUCUCCUGAUCGCGUCCCUGCUCGUGGUGGCAGUCACCCUCGCCGACGGCAGGAUCACCGUGCAGGUGCAGCGGCACAGCGUUAGCCGAGGGUAUGCGGCGAAGGCGGUGCCGGCGCUGACGUGCAACAAGGUGAAUGCGGUGCAGACGGGCGACACCUGCUCCUCCAUCGCGGACGGCGCCGGUCUGGCCCAGGAGGAUUUCCUGGGCUUCAACCCUAAUAUCAACUGCGAAAAGAUCUUCCUUGGCCAGUGGGUCUGCCUCGACGCAUCUGCUGCUUAA